CCCUCUCCUCCUUCUCACCCCCUCCCCCCUCCCCACCCAAGACUCAACCCUGACUUGGAGGGCCAGCCAGGGGCUUUGCAGCGGGCCAGCCUUCCACGAGGGGUGGGCCGGGCCGAAGCGAGGCGAGGCGAGGCAAGGCGAGGCGAGGCGAGCCCCGGCAUUUUCCUUUCCCCAGCACCUGUCCCACUUAAGCGCAGGGGCUGGGGCUGCGCCCGCGGGCGUCCUCAGUGCCCAACGCCGGAGCCACGCAUGGAGGCCGUCUCGGGGUCGGCGUGCCUGAGGACGGUCAGUCUCGUAAGAGGAAAGUGGUCACCACUGAAACUCGUGUCGCCCCCGGAAUUACUUAGGUAACGCUUGGGGGGGGGUAAGAAUAAGGGGGGGAUGGGGAAGCCCCUCCGGAGUGAC
This 405-nucleotide long non-coding RNA is filed under the name Phascolarctos cinereus (koala). RNAcentral's name for it is "lncRNA (ENSPCIG00000015340.2)". The record is from RNAcentral. Lineage: Eukaryota; Metazoa; Chordata; Mammalia; Diprotodontia; Phascolarctidae.